Molecule: small nuclear RNA, 149 nt
Organism: Gallus gallus (chicken)
Lineage: Eukaryota; Metazoa; Chordata; Aves; Galliformes; Phasianidae
Gene: U1
Rfam family: U1 spliceosomal RNA
About the family: U1 is a small nuclear RNA (snRNA) component of the spliceosome (involved in pre-mRNA splicing). Its 5' end forms complementary base pairs with the 5' splice junction, thus defining the 5' donor site of an intron. There are significant differences in sequence and secondary structure between metazoan and yeast U1 snRNAs, the latter being much longer (568 nucleotides as compared to 164 nucleotides in human).
Source: Ensembl
AUACUUAUUGGCAGGGGAGACACCAUGAUCAGGUGAGUGGUUUUCCCAGGGUGAGGCUUAUCCCAAGCACUUAGUGUGAGCCAACACCUGUGAUUUCCCCAAAUGCAGGAAAGUCAACCAUGGGAGUGGUAAUUUUUCUUUUUUUUUCU